GAUGGCUCAGUGGUUAAGAGCACUGGACUGUUCUUCCAGAGGACCUGGGUUCAAUUCCCAGCACCCA
Molecule: non-coding RNA, 67 nt
Organism: Peromyscus maniculatus bairdii (prairie deer mouse)
Lineage: Eukaryota; Metazoa; Chordata; Mammalia; Rodentia; Cricetidae
Source: the annotation of a RefSeq genome assembly